This 301-nucleotide ribosomal RNA is filed under the name uncultured bacterium. RNAcentral's name for it is "partial 16S ribosomal RNA". It matches the Rfam family "Bacterial small subunit ribosomal RNA", at positions 509 to 807 of the family's 1533-position model. The record is from RNAcentral.
CAGUAGCCGCGGGAAUACGUAGGGUGCAAGCGUUAAUCGGAAUUACUGGGCGUAAAGCGUGCGUAGGUGGUGGUUUAAGUCCGUUGUGAAAGCCCUGGGCUUAACCUGGGAAUUGCAGUGGAUACUGGGUCACUAGAGUGUGGUAGAGGAUAGUGGAAUUUCCGGUGUAGCAGUGAAAUGCGUAGAGAUCGGAAGGAACAUCUGUGGCGAAGGCGACUAUCUGGGCCAACACUGACACUGAGGCACGAAAGCGUGGGGAGCAAACAGGAUUAGAUACCCGCGUAGUCCCUGUCUCUUAUAC